CCCUACAGGGGAGAAAACUGAGGCCCGGAAGGUAGGACUAACAGGUGGGAAGGCGGGACUCUCAGGUAGAAAGGUGGGUCUUACAGGUGGGAAAGUGGGUCUUACAGGUGGGAAGGCGGGUUCUACAGGUGGGAAGGCGGGACUAACAGGUGGGAAGGCAGGACUCACAGGUAGAAAGGUGGGUCUUACAGGUGGGAAAGUGGGUCUUACAGGUGGGAAGGCGGGUUCUACAGGUGGGAAGGCGGGACUAACAGGUGGGAAGGCGGGACUCGCAGGUAGAAAGGUGGGUCUUACAGGUAGAAAGGUGGGUCUUACAGGUGGGAAGGUGGGUCUUACAGGUGGGAAGGCGGGUUCUACAGGUGGGAAGGCGGGACUAACAGGUGGGAAGGCGGGACUCGCAGGUAGAAAGGUGGGUCUUACAGGUAGAAAGGUGGGUCUUACAGGUAGAAAGGUGGGUCUUACAGGUAGAAAGGUGGGUCUUACAGGUGGGAAGGCAGGUCUUACAGGUGGGAAGGCAGGACUAACAGGUGGGAAGGCGGGUUCUACAGGUGGGAAGGCGGAACUAACAGGUGGGAAGGCGGGUCUUACAGGUGGGAAGGCGGGACUAACAGGUGGGAAGGCGGGUCUUACAGAUAGGAAGGCCCUUUGCCUCCAGUUGUAGAAAGCCAUUUCCUUUGGGGCGCCUGUGAUAAUGGUCACGGGCCCAGCUCACCCCCAACCUGAGCAGCCGCCCUUAUCCUCUCACCGAAACCCUACAAGCCCAUUUUCAUUUUUAAGAUUCUCCAGCUCCUCCGUGGAGACGAAUGUUGAAUUCCCCAUAAAUCCCGCUCUCAUUGAAGAAAUCAUAAAACCGCUUCCCGGGCAGCCAGUAGACUGUACGGGGGAUGGCCGGAAAUUAGCCUUAUUGUCGGGGAACAGCUGGUUCCCGUUAGCCGAAUCCUUGGGCUAAACUUGUUUGGGUCUGGCGUAUUGUAAAUUAUAUUUCGGUAAUGAAAGUGAUGUGACCUGCGGCUGACCCCGAGCGGGCUCUGUCGGUUGGAACCGGCGUCCGUGGAAAAGUAUGAAAGGAGAUGAAGUCAUGAGGCUCCGGCAGCUCCGCGUUGUGCCUUUCAAGGGGAAGGGGCCAUAAAUCUGCGCGGCCUUUGUUUGACAAGGAUUUGUCACGCGGGGAUGUACGAGAUGUAAAGAAGUGUCAAAGGCGCGGGCAGCCCCCGGCCAAAGUAAACCGAGUACAAAGGGAGCGCCCCUAUCUCUUCAUCGGGCCUUCCAUUAGCCCAAGGACGGGCGGGCUGUGUGCGCUCUGAGGGGACCCAGCCCUGCGAGCCCGGGGCUGCGUGGGAACUCGGAGAACCCCGCAGGAACACCCACCUACCUGGGGGCGAGGGGGAAGUCCUUCCUUCCCCUUCUUUGUCCCUCUGUCUGUCUCCCUCCUCCCCUCCUUCCUUCUUUCUUUCCCUCUCUCUGUUGUGCUCACUCUCUCUCUGCUCCUCUCCCCCUCCUUCCUUCCUCAUUCCUUCCUUCUUCCCUCCCUCCCUCCUGUCUGUCCUUCCUUCCCUCUUUUCUUUCUUCCUUCCUUCCUUCCUUCCCUCUUUUCUUCCUUCCUUCCUUCCUUCCUUCCUUCCUUCCUUCCUUCCUUCCUUCCUUCCUUCCUUCCUUCCUUCCUUCCCUCUUUUCUUCCUUCCUUCCUUGCUUCCCUCUUUCCUUCCCUCCCUCUGCUGUGUACUCUCUCUCUCUCUCUGCUCCUCUCCCUCCCUCCUUCCUUCUCUUUCUUUCUUUCUGGAAUAUGUCUUCCUCUCCUUCUUUCUUUCUGCCUUUUUUCUCUCCGCCUUUCUUUUCUUUUUCUCAUGUCAACAGGUUCAGAAUUGUGAAACCUCUGCCUGUACUCAUAAUCAGAAAUAUCUGGAUUUUCAAAGGCUUUGGAAGCCCCACCCGUGCUCUCUCUAGAGGCCAUGUGGGCAGAGAAGUGGCCCGGGUUUGGGCAACGGCCCCCUGUUCCCUCCCAGGGACGAGCUUCCACGAACGCCCUGCCACGUUUGGGCCCUUUUCCGGAAAGGCCGGGACGGGCCGUCAGGGGUCGCGGUUUUCAGCAUGGCGGCUGGUUUCCGGGGAGAUUGUUUUUCUCAGACACAUCCUCAAGAGCCCGUCUGUCAGGUGUGGUUGGAACAGGGGACGCUGAUGUCAGUAGGCCCUUUAACACUCGGGAUGGGAAGAUGAUCUCUAGAUCAAAAAACUGCCACCUCCCUGAGACUCACUGACGCGCCUUUGUUAAGGACCCCUGGUGAGAGGGAACCUGACCCCCCAAGACCAGAGUCGGCUCCUCACACUCCCUACCUAGCAUGCCUCCGUCAGCCCUAAAGCUAAACGGAACAGGGCGCAGCCCUUGGAGGGCUAAAGCAGCCAUAUCUGCAAGGGCUCAGAAUUAGGGCCUGGCCCGGUGGCUGGGAGUGGGCCCUGGAAGCCCUGGAUUUAGCCACUGGCUCCUCCACUUAGUAGCAGUAAGACCUUCUUAGGUCAGUGAUUCCAUAACUCGAGAUGUGAGUUAGUGAGUAAACACUGAUUAAGCACCUACUGUGUACCAGGCAG
Antechinus flavipes (yellow-footed antechinus) is the source of this 2583-nucleotide long non-coding RNA. RefSeq lists it as uncharacterized. The record is from RefSeq and is a predicted model, not a curated record. The transcript is spliced from 3 exons. NCBI's taxonomy places the organism in Eukaryota, Metazoa, Chordata, Mammalia, Dasyuromorphia, Dasyuridae.